RNAcentral lists this ribosomal RNA (253 nucleotides) under uncultured bacterium. Its description in RNAcentral is "partial 16S ribosomal RNA". It matches the Rfam family "Bacterial small subunit ribosomal RNA", at positions 524 to 776 of the family's 1533-position model. The record is from RNAcentral.
UACAGAGGUCUCAAGCGUUGUUCGGAUUCAUUGGGCGUAAAGGGUGUGUAGGUGGCGCGCUAAGUCGGGUGUGAAAUUUCGGAGCUUAACUCCGAAACUGCAUUCGAUACUGGCGUGCUUGAGGACUGGAGAGGAGACUGGAAUUUACGGUGUAGCAGUGAAAUGCGUAGAUAUCGUAAGGAAGACCAGUGGCGAAGGCGGGUCUCUGGGACAGUUCCUGACACUGAGACACGAAGGCCAGGGAGCAAACGGG